Molecule: ribosomal RNA, 869 nt
Filed under: uncultured candidate division GN03 bacterium
Lineage: Bacteria
Description: bacterial SSU rRNA
Rfam family: Bacterial small subunit ribosomal RNA
Source: RNAcentral
GAUGCGUCUGAAGGUACCUCCAAAGGGAGCUCCGGCUAACUCCGUGCCAGCAGCCGCGGUAAUACGGAGGGAGCAAACGUUGUUCGGAUUUACUGGGUGUAAAGGGUGCGUAGGCGGCUACGUGUGUCAGAGGUGAAAGCUCACGGCUCAACCGUGGAACUGCCUUUGAAACUGCGUAGCUUGAGUCCGAGAGAGGAUGGUGGAAUUCCUGGUGUAACGGUGAAAUGUGCAGAUAUCAGGAAGAACACCGGUGGCGAAGGCGGCCAUCUGGCUCGGUACUGACGCUGAGGCACGAAAGCUAGGGUAUCGAACGGGAUUAGAUACCCCGGUAGUCCUAGCCGUAAACGAUGUCCACUAGGUGUCGGAGGUCCUACCCCUUCGGUGCCGGAGCUAACGCAUUAAGUGGACCACCUGGGGAGUACGCUCGCAAGGGUGAAACUCAAAGGAAUUGACGGGGGCCCGCACAAGCGGUGGAGCAUGUGGUUUAAUUCGAUGCAACGCGAAGAACCUUACCUGGGCUUGACAUGCAGGGGACAGGUGUAGAGAUACACCCUUCUUCGGACUCCUGUACAGGUGCUGCAUGGCUGUCGUCAGCUCGUGUCGUGAAAUGUUGGGUUAAGUCCCGCAACGAGCGCAACCCUUGUCCUUAGUUGCCAGCACGUCAUGGUGGGAACUCUAGGGAGACUGCCGGUGACAAACCGGAGGAAGGUGGGGACGACGUCAAGUCAUCAUGGCCCUUACGUCCAGGGCUACACACGUGCUACAAUGGCACAUACAGAGGGCAGCGAACCCGCGAGGGGAAGCCAAUCCCAAAAAGUGUGCCUCAGUUCGGAUCGCAGUCUGCAACUCGACUGCGUGAAGUCGGAAUC